This 505-nucleotide ribosomal RNA is filed under the name uncultured bacterium. Its description in RNAcentral is "partial 16S ribosomal RNA". It matches the Rfam family "Bacterial small subunit ribosomal RNA", at positions 28 to 507 of the family's 1533-position model. The record is from RNAcentral.
GACGAACGCUGGCGGCGUGCCUAAUACAUGCAAGUAGAACGCACAGUUUAUACCGUAGCUCGCUACACCAUAGACUGUGAGUUGCGAAUGGGUGAGUAACGCGUAGGUAACCUGCCUGGUAGCGGGGGAUAACUAUUGGAAACGAUAGCUAAUACCGCAUAAUAUUGAUUAUUGCAUGAUAAUUGAUUGAAAGAUGCUAUUGCAUCACUACCAGAUGGACCUGCGUUGUAUUAGCUAGUAGGUGAGGUAACGGCUCACCUAGGCGACGAUACAUAGCCGACCUGAGAGGGUGAUCGGCCACACUGGGACUGAGACACGGCCCAGACUCCUACGGGAGGCAGCAGUAGGGAAUCUUCGGCAAUGGACGAAAGUCUGACCGAGCAACGCCGCGUGAGUGAAGAAGGUUUUCGGAUCGUAAAGCUCUGUUGUAAGAGAAGAACGGGUGUGAGAGUGGAAAGUUCACACUGUGACGGUAUCUUACCAGAAAGGGACGGCUAACUACGUG